Lathyrus oleraceus (garden pea) is the source of this 2561-nucleotide long non-coding RNA. RefSeq lists it as uncharacterized. The transcript is spliced from 2 exons. NCBI's taxonomy places the organism in Eukaryota, Viridiplantae, Streptophyta, Magnoliopsida, Fabales, Fabaceae. The record is from RefSeq and is a predicted model, not a curated record.
AUUGACCUCUAGGGCUUACACCAACACAUGGUCCAUGGGGUGAUCAAUUGGAGGGGAGGUGUGGAUGACCAUGAAUUGUUUGCUUGGGUCGUCUUCCAAUAAAACCCCAAGAAUCGGGUUCAACACUCAUGAGCUUCCGCCAGGUCAAAACAAAAGUUUUUCAACACAACGCCUCAAAGCUAGCUUCACCCUCGUUUCCAAUUCUAAUCCGCGUUCCAUGAAAUACCAAGAACUCGCUCUUCACGUUCAUUCAGGAAAUGAAAUACUUAGAUCAAACACGAUAAAUCAUGGAUGAAACAAAACAAAACAGCUUGCAGGUCAAUCAACACCAUCACCAUUAACACGUCGUCAAUGAGAAGCUGGGAUUCACUUCGAUUUUGCACCAACAGUCGAGAAUUUCAACGAACGAACUCGAUUUCUUUCUCCAUGACGAAAACAAAAAUAACGAUGGAUCCACGGUAUUUUGACACCAAAACGAAUUGGAUUAGAUUGCACAUGUAGUGGAGAGAUUGAAGGAGGAGGAACCUAUCGGAUUUAUCGGAGACUCCAGAGUCCAAUUCUCUAGCUGAAGAUUUGAUUCUCUUUGUAAUAGUUGGAGGGUGUAUAAGGUUUGUUGAAGAAAUUGUUAGAAGAGGGUGUGGUGGAGGGUUCUUGGAGGGUAAUGUUCGUUAUGUUAUUUUUGUUGGAGGUGAUGGCUUCAGUUGAAGGGUGCAGAAGGUUAGAAGAGGCAGGAGUUUCGGUUUGCCGGGUUUUGGUGUUGAAGUGGGGCGUUCAGUUAUAAGGGUGGGGGAGGUUCUUGUGAAUGAGAUUGAAGGCUAGAGCAGUUCUAGUUAUGAGGAAAAUCGUUCAGUUAUCAAUGGUUCCUCCUGUUAUGGGAGAUUUUGUUAGAGGUUAAUAUUGAGGAUUAUGAAAUUUGAUUAGAAGAGUAGAAGUCAAUUAGGAAAAUGGUUAGGAGGUGGUUGGGGAUUCAAUUGGAGUUAGUUAUUGUUGUUGAUGUUCCUUGUGCUGCUGCUGCUGUCUCGAAAUAAUAUUUUGAUUAGAAGAUUGAAUCUAUCUACUUAUUUUCCAUCUAAUAUAUUCCAUUAAGAGAGAAUUCACGCUGAUUGAAAUCCCGAAUCCGGUGAAUGUUGAAAGAAGAACCGAGAAUAUCACAGUGACAUUAAGUAUUGAAUAGAAAACAUGAGUAAACAGGAUGACAAAUGCAAACUGGAAGCAUGCAUAAGCCCAUAUGUAACUCUUGCUAACCAUUCUUGAUGAGAUUAAAGAUGAAAGGAGACCUAAGAUGCAUGAGAAAGGCAAAGAAAUGGCGAAAGCACGUGGACCCAAAUCCGAAACCAGUAGUUCCUCAAGAAAAUAAAUGUAUGCAAGUGUGAUGACUAAGACAAGCAUUGAUACAUCCUACCAGAUUCUGUAAUUAGCUAUUUCUCUCUGUUGUGAUGCAUUCAAUGGAUGUCGAACAACAUUUAGAGGACUAGAAUUUUUCAAGAGUGUUACUGGAAGGUUUCAGACAUCCUUCUUGCACAUAUCACAAGUCUUAUUUCCUUUGAUACUAAACCACUUCACUGCACAAUCUUGGUGAGUAAGUGCAAGCUCACCUUUACAACUGCAAUCCAUCCUAAGAGUAUCUCCCCCUUUUGUUCCUGUAGCAAGGAGAAAUGUACCCAUGGAUGCUACAAGUCCAAAGCAAAUUGUUGACACAUCUACUUUGCAUAACUUCAUGGAAUCAUAAAUUCCCACUCCACCAGUAACAAAACCACCAUGUGAAUUUAUAAACAACUUGACGUCUUUCUUAGGGUCAUCAACAUCCAAAAACAAAAGAUAACUGUUUACAAGAUCAGCAGUCAUAUCAUCCACCCGAGAACCCCAAAAGACAAUUCUUUGACGGAGAAGCAUGUUGGUAGUGUCAAGUUCUUCGAAUUUGGGAAGCCAUGGAGAAGCAGUUCUGGCAGAUAAAUCAUGGUAAAUGAGCCAUUUGGAGGAUAAAGUGUGUUUGAUUGUGUUAAAGAUUGUUGUUAUGCAUUAUUGUUCUGUGUCUAUUACAGAAUUUUGGUGUGGCAGGAAUGGAUUGGACCAUCGGUUGCUUGUGGUGUGCAAUAACUGUGACAAAUAUGGAGCUACUAUGAAUGACUGGACUAUGCUUUGCAAGCUGUUUGGUGAUGUUUUUAGCUGAUGUGAAUCGUGGUUAUACUGAUGUACACUUGCUGCUGGGGUUUUUUAUGCAGGUCAAAAUGUUUGCUUUCUUCAAUUGUGCAGGUUAUGAACCAUUGGCCUUUGAAGUUCUUGUAAUGCUUGAACUAUUUUUGGAGUGCUUUGCACUGAAUUGGAUAUUGGGAUUUCAUGGAGCUAUGGAGUAUGUUAUGGACUAGUUUCAAAUGGAUUUGUGGUUUCAUAUGGAACUUAGAUUGUCUAUUUAUUGUUUAUGGAAUUCAAACUACGUAUUGAAAUUAUUGUAAUUUUGUUGUAAUUUUGAAGUUGACAUUGUUUAAAGUUGGAAUGUAGAGGUAUGUAUGGUUAUGUAUGGUUGAUUGGUGAAUAUUGAAAGAUGAAUGGAAAUUGAAAUU